CAUGACAAUUCCUAGCACAGCAAUGCCAGUGAAGAGCAGGGCGACCAGCAGCAUGAGCACGGAUACUGCUGUGUUGCCCUUCGGCACCACCAGAGCGGAGAUCCAGCCACUGUAAAGGGAAGGAUGUGCCAGUGAAGAGGAGCUCCUCAGCUUCUCCACUGUUUAAUUCCAGUUUCUGAACCAUUAGCCCUGAGCUCUCCAAGCUCUUCCAGGCACUCAUCUGGGGAUUCUUCUUCCUCCUUUCAACCAUGGUUCUAUGCCUCCUCCAGGAGGCCACCUCAGAUUGGCCAAAUGCAGCAUUCUUCCCUUCAAUCUAUAUGUCUCAAGGGUGCUGUCUGCGCUCUAUCCUGGAAGUAUGUCUUGUAUCUCAUUAAACUAGUACCUCCCAAGGAUUAAAA
Pongo pygmaeus (Bornean orangutan) is the source of this 398-nucleotide long non-coding RNA. RefSeq lists it as uncharacterized. The record is from RefSeq and is a predicted model, not a curated record. NCBI's taxonomy places the organism in Eukaryota, Metazoa, Chordata, Mammalia, Primates, Hominidae. The transcript has 2 exons.